RNAcentral lists this ribosomal RNA (449 nucleotides) under uncultured bacterium. RNAcentral describes it as "partial 16S ribosomal RNA". It matches the Rfam family "Bacterial small subunit ribosomal RNA", at positions 29 to 523 of the family's 1533-position model. The record is from RNAcentral.
AGCGAACGCUGGCGGCAGGCCUAACACAUGCAAGUCGAACGGACCCUUCGGGGUUCGUGGCGGACGGGUGAGUAACACGUGGGAACGUGCCUUUAGGUUCGGAAUAGCUCCUGGAAACGGGUGGUAAUGCCGAAUGUGCCCUUCGGGGGAAAGAUUUAUCGCCUUUAGAGCGGCCCGCGUCUGAUUAGCUAGUUGGUGAGGUAACGGCUCACCAAGGCGACGAUCAGUAGCUGGUCUGAGAGGAUGACCAGCCACACUGGGACUGCGACACGGCCCAGACUCCUACGGGAGGCAGCAGUGGGGAAUCUUGCGCAAUGGGCGAAAGCCUGACGCAGCCAUGCCGCGUGAAUGAUGAAGGUCUUAGGAUUGUAAAAUUCUUUCACCGGGGACGAUAAUGACGGUACCCGGAGAAGAAGCCCCGGCUAACUUCGUGCCAGCCGCCGCCGUAA